AGGACGAACGCUGGCGGCGCGCUUAACACAUGCAAGUCGAACGUGAAACCCGGGCUUGCCCGGGCGGAAAGUGGCGAACGGGUGCGUAACACGUGAGGAACGUGCCCCGAAGACCGGGAUAACUCGAGGAAACUCGUGCUAAUACCGGAUGUCCUCACCGGAUCGCAUGGUCUGGUGAGGAAAUGGAUUCCGCUUCGGGAUCGCCUCGCGGCCUAUCAGCUUGUUGGUGGGGUAAUGGCCUACCAAGGCAACGACGGGUAGCUGGUCUGAGAGGAUGUCCAGCCACACUGGGACUGAGACACGGCCCAGACUCCUACGGGAGGCAGCAGUGGGGAAUCUUGCACAAUGGGCGAAAGCCUGAUGCAGCGACGCCGCGUGCGGGAUGAAGGCCCUCGGGUCGUAAACCGCUUUCAGCAGGGACGAUAGUGACGGUACCUGCAGAAGAAGCCCCGGCCAACUACGUGCCAGCAGCCGC
RNAcentral lists this ribosomal RNA (475 nucleotides) under uncultured bacterium. RNAcentral describes it as "SSU rRNA". It matches the Rfam family "Bacterial small subunit ribosomal RNA", at positions 26 to 518 of the family's 1533-position model. The record is from RNAcentral.